Molecule: unclassified non-coding RNA, 234 nt
Filed under: Rhizophagus sp. (in: glomeromycetes)
Lineage: Eukaryota; Fungi; Glomeromycota; Glomeromycetes; Glomerales; Glomeraceae
Description: partial contains 5.8S ribosomal RNA and internal transcribed spacer 2
Rfam family: 5.8S ribosomal RNA (bases 1-65)
Source: RNAcentral
GUGAAUCAUCAAAUUUUUGAACGCAAAUUGCACUCUCUUCGGAGAGUAUGCCUGUUUGAGGGUCAGUAUUAAUAAAAAUCGGUGUGUUGCUUCUUUGUGACGCUCCGGAGUUUGGGUCAUCUUAAUAUCCUUUAGGUUUUAAGAGGCUUAAAAUUGACUUUUUUUGCGAUUUUUAGUUGUCAAUAAAUUCUUUUUUUUUUUCGUCUGUCUUAUUGCUAAAAACCUUUUUAGUUG